CGAACGGUGAUGAAGAGCUUGCUCUUUGGAUCAGUGGCGAACGGGUGAGUAACACGUGAGCAAUCUGCCCUUGACUCUGGGAUAACUGCGGGAAACUGUAGCUAAUACCGGAUAUGACCCAGGAAGGCAUCUUUUUGGGUGGAAAGAAUUUUGGUCAAGGAUGAGCUCGCGGCCUAUCAGCUAGUUGGUGAGGUAAUGGCUCACCAAGGCGACGACGGGUAGCCGGCCUGAGAGGGUGACCGGCCACACUGGGACUGAGACACGGCCCAAACUCCUACGGGAGGCAGCAGUGGGGAAUAUUGCACAAUGGGCGCAAGCCUGAUGCAGCAACGCCGCGUGAGGGACGAAGGCCUUCGGGUUGUAAACCUCUUUUAGUAGGGAAGAAGCGACUGGGUUUUCCUGGGAGUGACGGUACCUGCAAAAAAAGCACCGGCUAACUACGUGCCAGCAGCCGCGGUAAUACGUAGGGUGCAAGCGUUGUCCGGAAUUAUUGGGCGUAAAGAGCUCGUAGGCGGUUUGUCGCGUCUGCUGUGAAAACCCGAGGCUCAACCUCGGGCCUGCAGUGGGUACGGGCAGACUAGAGUGCGGUAGGGGAGAUUGGAAUUCCUGGUGUAGCGGUGGAAUGCGCAGAUAUCAGGAGGAACACCAAUGGCGAAGGCA
This 660-nucleotide ribosomal RNA is filed under the name uncultured bacterium. RNAcentral's name for it is "bacterial SSU rRNA". It matches the Rfam family "Bacterial small subunit ribosomal RNA", at positions 63 to 723 of the family's 1533-position model. The record is from RNAcentral.